GAACAAAAUAAGAGUUUUAAUACCCAGUUAAAGGAAAAAUCCCUAAAACUAACAGAGUAAAAAAAAACCAAAAUUUCCUUCAAUACUCCCGCAAAACUGAAGUGGAACAAACCUCCCGACGCAGAUCUGCACCGCCGCUCCAUUGCAACGCCUUCCGACCGCUUCCUAGCCUCCGUUGAACGCCGUUUGUACCAUCGUUGCCUUCAAUUCGAUAUCGGUUGUGACGUUUAUCAGAUGAUCUGCAGUUGGGGUUUUUGUCCUGCAAAUGUGUUGGUGUUGUGAUGUUGUCUGCCUUAUAUGCUGCAGUCUAGGUAAAUUAGAAGGAGGGGGCGUGCACCAUAUUAGCCGUAGCUGAGUUCUUACCAUUACGGUUUCCAUGAGGAUGGUUUGAAGAUCUUUCUUUCAAACAUAUAUUCAUAUCCUUCCGUGUCAAUGGAAGAUAAAAAGAGCAGACCAAACAGAAGGGCAUUGCUUCCCAUUGAGCCUUUUCUGAUGGCCCUGGCUAGGAAAUUCAACCCUAGAGAAUAAAAUUUGUCGCAACAGAUAGAGGAAGGUUUAAUGACAAGUUCAAUGAGAGCUCCCACCGUCCCACGCAUUCUCAAACUACGAUUGACGAGCUAAGGGAGAGGUGGAUCUCAUACGUUACCGAAUAUCACCAACCAAAUAACGAUGAAGAUCAAGAUGAUGAUGACGAUGAUCUAGUGUGACUUAAGCUAGCUCAAGGAGAUGGUUACCUCAGUUUCAGUCCUGCAUUUCUGCUGUUGCUGCAGAAUCUGUUCUUGCUGCAAACGCUGUUGUUGUUGCAGAAUCUGUUCCAGCUGUCUUUUUUUCUUUUUUUUUAAACAGUGAUAUUGGAUUUUAUUAUUUGCCGUACCUUGUGUAGAUCAUUUAUAUUUUAUCAAUGAAUAAUAUGAUUUUGUUAUUGAAUGAAUAAUAUUAUUUUGUUAUUGAAUGAAAUUAUUUUUGGAAA
Long non-coding RNA from Spinacia oleracea (spinach), 970 nucleotides. RefSeq lists it as uncharacterized. NCBI's taxonomy places the organism in Eukaryota, Viridiplantae, Streptophyta, Magnoliopsida, Caryophyllales, Amaranthaceae. The record is from RefSeq and is a predicted model, not a curated record. The transcript is spliced from 5 exons.